Molecule: long non-coding RNA, 7137 nt
Filed under: Sinocyclocheilus grahami
Lineage: Eukaryota; Metazoa; Chordata; Actinopteri; Cypriniformes; Cyprinidae
Description: lncRNA (ENSSGRG00000030640.1)
Source: RNAcentral
AUGGAGACUGAACUGCCAGAACGGAAAAGAAAAAUGGGUUCAACUCGCAAGAGUACUGGUAGGUUUAAAGGUGAGAGAAAACUUGAUGACGUGAGGACCACUGAAGAGUUAGAUGAAGAAUAUGUAACUCAACCAAACACAUCAACCACUGAGGAACAACAUGCUUCUCUAACAAAAGAGGAACAAUCAAGUUUUCCUUCUGAUUUAUCCCUUCAGACCAAAAGUUCUGGUUUUGGAAAGGAGUCUGGAACAACUCCUGUGUUUGCAGUUUCAGAAAAUAAAGGAAAAGGUACAAUCCACCAUCAAGAAAUAACCUUUCAUUCACAUGAGGUAGUAAGUGAGAUGCCUAUAGACGAGGCAAUGGGGCCAUCUGUCCAUUCUAUUCCUGUCACAGUAGCUGAACGUGAUUUGUUGCGGGAGGAUUCAGUCAUGUUUAAUGAACCAAAAACACUUAGUCACCAAGAAACCCAAAUAGCCAGUACCUCUGGACAAAAAAGAAGGAUGGGCUCAACCCGCAGACCUCUCGGAGGGCAAAACAGUGAAAUUGUAGGUGUGCAAGAACAUUCACGAAACAUGACAGAGAAUGAAAGGAAAGCAAAAGUCAUGGGCGAAGCAAAGUUGAAAAUGUCAGAAGAGAUGGCGCAAACAUGGGAUGAUGUGGCAAGAGUUGAUCCAUCGUCCCACACAGAAUCAGCUUUGCUUUUAAGUCAGUCUCUAUUGGCCGAUAGAGCUGAGCUGAAAGAGUCUGAUGUUUCGGCUGGAACUGAAACUAUGAACCAAUCAGUUGCUUUUCCCCUUGUUGAUUCAGAAAAGCCCCUACCUGAAACAUCUAGCCACCAUGGGACUCCAUUACUGAACGAGGCAAUGGAUUUUAAGUUUGGUUCACACACUGAGGAUUUAGAUGUUCUAAAUAAAGUUUUAAAAGAAGCAGGAAGUCAUUUAAGUGAUAACAGCCAACAUGUGUCUGAUACAAGAAAAGAUACAAACCCAUCUUAUGACUUUAGCGAUGUGAACACAGAAUCCAAGAAGGAGGUUCUAAAGCAGAAAGAGGAACCACAAUUAGAGGAACUUGAGUUGCAUGAUCAAGAAUCUUCAUUAAGCCAACAUGACAUAGCUACUCUAAAUAAUAACUAUGAUUGUUCUAUGGUUCAACAUAUAAUGGGAGGAAGUAGAAGUUUUGAUAUGCCUAUGUCUAACAUUAGCCAUGCUGAACCCACAAUGACCAAUUUACCACAUGAGAUGAGGGAUGCUGUUGAAGAAAGGCAAGAGAUUAAUAUAGAAAUGAAACAAGAAAAUAAUGUUUGUGAUGUUGCUUCAGUAAAAUGUGAUGGUCUGACUAAUUUAGUGUCUAUUACGGAAGAAGAUGAAGAUCCCCACAUUCUAGCAACGAGAGAAAAUGAGAAUAUGAGUGUUGAAAGAGUAUAUGCAUUUGAAAUGACAGACCAGGGUGAUGUAAGAGAUCACAAUGUAAAACAAAUAAUAAUGGAUGUAAGAGAUCAUGAAAAAGACGGAGAAACAAGCACAGAGACCAUUUGGAUUUCACACAAGAAACCGUGUGAUGUUUCAAAUGAAAAUAAGGAGCUAUAUAAAGGACAAGAGCAUCAUUCAUCAAAUAUAUCUCUAACACACAGUCAAACACACGAUGAUGCUGGGAAGAUGCUAGAAAAUGAGGAGGUUAGAAAAGACAAAAAAGAGACUGAGAAUACUGCAGUUGAUGAUGUGACCUCAAAGUCAGAGGAAAUGUUUAGUUUUGAAGACUCAGCAACAGAUACAGGAUCUCACGCACAACAACAACUGUUUAUGCAAUCUCCUGAUAAAGAAGACUAUGACUUGCAUGAAAAUGUGAAUGAGAAACAUGAAAAGGAAGAAAUACUUUUCAGUGUAGAAUCAGAGAAUGUAGCUUUUGAUAGAGGCAAUGAGAGAAGUGAAGGAACAGACAGAAUUAAGGAGAUGGAUGCAGCACCAGUCCUGACAUUAGAUGUGGGAGAUGCAGACCUACGUUUAGAAGUUGAAGCACAGAACAAAACAUUUGACUCAACAAACAGUGAAGCAGGUGGAACAGAAGAGAAUAUCAAUGGUGCUAGUGUUUUAGUCAGAGAAAAUAAAGUUAUUGGAAAUACAGUGGAGAGUAAUAUGACUCCUGAUGCACACAUGGAAUCAUUGAAAGUAUCUGAAAAUGCUGAGCAAGAAGUUUCAGGAGAAACAAUUCUCAAGCAAAGUGACAUCAACAUCGUUCCUGAUGAUUCUCAUGAAGAGAAGGCACACGCAAAAUCAAGUCCAGUUAUUCAGAAGAGAAAAAUGGGCUCAACUCGUAGACCUCUCAGAGGGAAUAAAGGACUAAGAAAAGGUCAUGAUGAAAAAGAAAUCUUCAAUUUGGAGGAUGAACCCAGUCCAGAUGAAUCCAGAUAUACUGCAGUGAGUAUCUGUGACAUUUCAGAAUCACAAACUUUCUCAAAAAUCUAUGCAGGGUCCCAGGAAAAUACUGGAGAUGUUGAAAUAGUGCCAGCAGAGGGAGACACAGAAUCCCACUCAGAAAUCAAAACGUUUGACUCAACAGCAUUUGGAGAAGUUGAAGUCCGAGAAGUUGACGUUAUUGGAGGUACCGUGGGCAGUAAUAUGACUACUGAAUCAGAUUUUCAUCAAACUUCUGAUGCAAACAUGGAAACGUUGAAAGUAUCUGAAAAUCCUGAUAGUGAAGAUUUAGAACUCAGAAGUUCACAAUCAGAAAUUCAACCAGAAAACAAAAUGAUUGAGUUAACAUCUGAAGCAGAAAGAACAGAAGAUACCAUCUGUGAAGCUAGUGUUUUAGUCAGAGAAGAUGAGUUUACUGUAGAUACGGUUAUAGUGGACAGUAAUAUGAAUAUAGAGUCAGAUUUGCUUCAGAGUGACACUUUAAAUGAUGCAAAACUGGACACACUGAAAUUAUCUAAAAAUACUGUGAGUGUUUCUGCUGUUACGGAUUCUGUGCUUCUUGUGCAAGAGGAUGUCACUGAAGGAUCAAGAGGGACAGACACAUUUCCUGAGCAAAGUGACAUCAACAUCAUUCCUGAAUAUUCUCAUGGACAGGAGGUACACUCAAUAUCAAGUUUAAUAGUUCACAAGCGAAAAAUGGGCUCAACACGUAGACCUCUCAGAGGGAACAAAGGACAAAGAAAAGAAAUAGAAUAUCAUGAUGAAAAUGAGACACUUGACAGUGAAGGUAUGAUCAAUGCAGAUAAAGAAACAAUUUGUUUGGAGAAUGAACCCAGUCCAGAUGAAUCUACAUUACAAAGUUUAAAAGAUGGAGUUAAAGAACAGGAGAUGGAAAUAUGUGAGAAGAAUGAUGUUGAUCCUGUUAAAGGGUCUGAAUCCACUCUCCUGCAGUCAUCAUGUACUUCAGAUUUAGUGUCUAAGGAAUCCACUGCAAUAAGUAUCUGUCACAUCACAGAAUCACAAACCCUCACAGAUAUUCAUGUAGAGUCUCAAGAAAAUACUGGAGAUGCUGAAAGAGUGACAGCAAAGGAUGACAAAGACUUACAAUUAGAAAUUGACUCACAGAACAAAACAUUUGACUUAGCAACCAGUGAAGCAGAUGGACCAGAAGAGAACAUCCAAGACAUUAGUGUGGCAUUAAUCAGAGAAGUUGAAGUUAUUGGAGAUACAGUUACAGUGGAGAGUAAUAUGACUACUGAGUCAGAUUUUCUUCAAACUUCUCCUGAUGCACAUAUGGAAGCAUUGAAAGUAUCUAAAAAUGCCGAGAGAGAAGUUUCAGGAGAAACAAACACAAUUCUUGAACAAAGUGACAUAAGCAUCAUUCCUGCAGAUUUUCACAGAGAAGAGACACACUCAAAAUCAAGUCCAGUUAUUCAGAAGAGAAAAAUGGGCUCAACUCGUAGACCUCUCAAAGGGAAUAAAGGACUAAGAAAAGGUCAUAAUGAAAAAGAAAUCUUCAAUUUGGAGGAUGAACCCAGUCCAGAUGAAUCCAGAUAUACUGCAGUGAGUAUCUGUGACAUUUCAGAAUCACAAACUUGCACAAAAAUCCAUGCUGGGUCCCAGGAAAAUACUGGAGAUGUUGAAGGAGUGCCAGCAGAGGGAGAUACAGAAUCACACUCAGAAAACAAAACAAUUUACUCGCCAGCAUUUGAAGGAGAAACAACAGGAGAGAACAUCUGUGCAGCUAGUGCUUUAGACAGAAACGUUGAGUUUAUUGGAGAUGCAGUUAUAGUGGAGAGUAAUAUGACUACAGAGUCAGAUAUUGUUCAAAAUGACACUUCCACUGAUGCACAACUGGAAACUUUGGUAUCUGAAAAUGCUGAGAAUGAAAUGUCAGGAAAAACAGACAUAAUUUCCAAACAAAGUGUUCCCAACAUCAUUCCUGAAGAUCUUCAUGGAGAGGAGGUACACACAAAAUUGAACCUUAAUGUGCAUAAGCGAAAAAUGGGCUCAACUCGUAGACCUCUUAGAGGGAACAAAGGACAAAGAAAAGUGAGAGUAGAAUCCAAGGAAAAUAAUGGAGAUAGUGAAGGAGUGUCAGAAGAGGAAGACACAGAAACACACUCAGAAAUUCAAAACUGGGAUAACGUGGUUGAUCAGAAUGUGACACAAGAAAUUAUGAAUGUAAGAGAUGUUGAAGAUGAGGAGAGAAAGACCACGAAGACACUGGACAUGUCAGUGCAGGUGCUAUGUGAUGAUUUGGAACUAGAGCAAAGAUCAGAUGCAUCUCAAACACAAACUGGUCCAUCACAGGAAGAUACUGGCUCAUAUUUCCCAGAAAGAACUGCAGAUAUUGUGAGAGACAGUAAUAGUCUUUCUGAUAUGGUCAUGUCUGAUGCCCUUCUUAUGGAGGAAACCCAAAUUCAUGUGUCAUCUAAUGAUGUUCCUCCAACAGAGGUUGUUGAAAUGAAUCCAGUCUCCAAAAAGUCUAUGCAGAAGAGAAAAAUGGGGUCAACUCGGAAGAGAGGUAAGAGGAUGGUAAAUGACAAGGAGGUUGAAGAAGAGAAAGAGGGAGAAACUGAAAAUACAACAGCUGAUGAUGAGACCACAGAGUCAGAGGAGAAAUUAACACUUGAAGAAGCCAUUACAGGAUCUCCUGUACAUCAGCAACUGUUCAGUUCAUCUGCUGAUAAAGAAGACCAUGACAUUCAGGAUAUUGUUUGUAAAUCAUAUGUGCAGGCAGAAAACUCAGAACAAAAUGAUCAAAACUCUACCAUAAAUCCAGAACUAUUGAUAGAAUCUGAAUGUUCUUCAAAUGUUGCUGCUGAAAUGGUUUCAGACCUUCCAUUGGGAGAUGUCGACACAUACUUAGAUCCUAAACAAAGUGUCAUUCCUAAAGAGUCUCAUAGAGAAGUUCAACCAAACUUGAAUCCGGUUGUUCAAAAACGAAAAAUGGGGUCGACACGUAAGACGCUCAAUGGGAACAAAGGGCAGGGAAGAAUAGCAGAAUCCAAAAAGAUGGAUGGAAAUAGUGAAGGAAUGAUACAGGAACAGGAUACAGAACCACAUUUAGAAACCAGUGCAAGGAAAACUGAAUUUGAUGAAGCGGUUGAACAAAACUUCCCAUUUGAAUGUUCUCAUCCAGUGGCUUCUUCAAACAUGCUCCUUGAACCAGAAAAUGGAGUGACGGAAGUUUCUCAGAAUAUUCAUGACCUAUCUGAGGUGAGUGAAGAAAAGGGGAUGGACAAUACUGGAAAUGACAGUAAUAGUCUGAGUGAGGCAAUUAAUCUCAAGGAGGGGACAAAGGUCAAAUUUGUCUUGACAAUUAGUCACGAAGAUGUUCAUCAGAUUGUGUCAGAGCCUGAACAAACUGAAAACACACACAAGGUUAUUCCUACACAAGAACUAAGAGCCACUCUGGAUGAUGUUAUUCAUGAAAACAACUCUCGAAAAAUACCUGCCACCCAAGAAAAGAGGCGAAAGAUGGGCUCAACCCGGAGAAAUUCCCGAGCAAUGCAUGGGAAAAAUAUUGCCGAUAAUGAAGAUGUACUUGGUGUGGCAGAGGAUAGAGAAACUAAGAAAGCAGAGGAUGAUUUAGAAGAAGCAUUAAGCAUCAGUCAGUCCAAGGAUGUGUCUUCAGUCAGUACCACAGAUCUUAAUUCAGAAAUGUUAGCUAGUGUAACUGAUUUAAAAGUUGAUCAUCUUCACAGUUUUAGACCAACAGUGCCUGAAACACAUGAAAAUACCCUUCAAAUAUGUGACAAUCAAUUAGAAAAUGCUGAUGUUACCAAACAUCCACAGUCAGAGACUGUUACCAUUGAGAAGAGAAAAAAGAUGGGCUCGACUCGGAAGAAUCUCAGAAAAGGAGGAAUACGAGGAAAAAGAGAUGGAUAUGAGGACACAGAAAUUGAAGACACAAAUGUGCAAAUGUCUCAGGACUCUGAAAUGAGCUUAGUAAGAGAAGAUGUAAGACAACAGUCAACUCACGACUACUCCAGUCAGCCAGAGGAUUCACUUCUCAGUGAGAUAGAGAGAGCAUUAAAUAAGACGUCUCAAAGUUCAUUAAGUUGUGAUUGGGAAUUAAUCGUCAAAGAACCAAACCCAGAUGACUUAGCCAAUGCUCCUGAUCUCAAUAUGCCAGAAAACUCAGAAAUCAAAUCUCUUCAGCCAAUGCCAUCGGCUCACAGUGAACCCAACUCACCAGGAGGACGAAGAAGAAAAAUGGGUUCAACUCACAAAAAUCUCAGACAGCAGCUCAAAGCAGAAAGGGAGGAUGAAGACAAAGAGGAUGGGGAAAUAGAUGAGAACUCAAAGACAAAUAAGCAAGAAAAGAAGGACCUUGAAAGAGUUGAGGUGUCUGUAGUGCAUAAUAUUACUGAAAACAAACUGAAUAAAGAGUAUCUCGAUGUCUCUAGUGCACACACAAGUAGCAAUCAGCUAGAAGAGAGCACUAACCCUGUUAGCCAAGAAAAGACGUCUCCAUCAACUAAAAGGAAGUUUGGGUCCAGACGUGCUAAUAAGGGCAAACAAGGCCUUGGUAGGUUGGCUGAUUCUGAUUUUGGGAAUGAUUUAGAAGAUGGAGAUCAUAAACCAGACAGCUCUGAGGUCAAGGACAAGCUGCACAGUGAUGACUUAGCGGUGUGUAUCUCUUUGUUUAGAAAAUGUCCUUAUAUUUUUGUACUUCAGCUUUUAAUGGAAAUUGUACACAUUACUUUAAAUUACUAA